Small nucleolar RNA from Tachyglossus aculeatus (Australian echidna), 138 nucleotides. The record is from RefSeq and is a predicted model, not a curated record. Lineage: Eukaryota; Metazoa; Chordata; Mammalia; Monotremata; Tachyglossidae.
CACCUCUCAGGGUCUCACUUGGAGAGUUUCCUGUACUCUACCAGUCUCGACUAUAGGAGGAAGAGUCAAGCAGAGGCAUACCCAUUCCAUACCUAGCUUAGGCGGUGGCUAGUGAGUGGAAGGCAAUCUGCUACAAGU